Molecule: ribosomal RNA, 510 nt
Filed under: uncultured bacterium
Lineage: Bacteria
Description: partial 16S ribosomal RNA
Rfam family: Bacterial small subunit ribosomal RNA
Source: RNAcentral
GACGAACGCUGGCGGCGUGCUUAACACAUGCAAGUCGAACGAAGAGCGAUGGAAGCUUGCUUCUAUCAAUCUUAGUGGCGAACGGGUGAGUAACGCGUAAUCAACCUGCCCUUCAGAGGGGGACAACAGUUGGAAACGACUGCUAAUACCGCAUACGAUCUAAUCUCGGCAUCGAGGAUAGAUGAAAGGUGGCCUCUACAUGUAAGCUAUCACUGAAGGCGGGGAUUGCGUCUGAUUAGCUAGUUGGAGGGGUAACGGCCCACCAAGGCGAUGAUCAGUAGCCGGUCUGAGAGGAUGAACGGCCACAUUGGGACUGGGACACGGCCCAGACUCCUACGGGAGGCAGCAGUGGGGGAUCUUCCGCAAUGGACGAAAGUCUGACGGAGCAACGCCGCGUGAGUGAUGACGGCCUUCGGGUUGUAAAGCUCUGUUAAUCGGGACGAAAGGCCUUCUUGCGAAUAGUGAGAAGGAUUGACGGUACCGGAAUAGAAAGCCACGGCUAACUACGUG